CCAGCAAUGACAAGCGCUAGCUAAGAAUUUGCUCGGAAGCUUCAAACAAGUCAUGGAAGAAGAAGGUGGAUGCUUUUGACGGUUGCAUUAGGGCUGUAGAAUGCACAAUUGCGUAGGACCCGCUCCUGAUGUCGAAGGCUUAGAUGCAAAGAAUUUGGUCCACAUCUUCGCAGAAGUCAUUAGCAUUUGGCCCAAUAGUUAGAAAUUUCCAUCCCAUGAAAGAAUAGUACAACCAACCAAACUUUAAUGUUAUAAUUAAGAACCAACAACCAACCAAACUGAAGUUGUGGUACCAUGUUAGCCAAAUGGAUGCUUAUUUUUUUUCUUUUUUAAUAUUUAAUUUCUCUAUUUCCCUA
This 356-nucleotide long non-coding RNA is filed under the name Theobroma cacao (cacao). RNAcentral's name for it is "long non-coding RNA (TCAC_LNC003885)". The record is from RNAcentral. Lineage: Eukaryota; Viridiplantae; Streptophyta; Magnoliopsida; Malvales; Malvaceae.